Molecule: ribosomal RNA, 300 nt
Filed under: uncultured Bacillus sp.
Lineage: Bacteria; Bacillati; Bacillota; Bacilli; Caryophanales; Bacillaceae
Description: partial 16S ribosomal RNA
Rfam family: Bacterial small subunit ribosomal RNA
Source: RNAcentral
GCUAACUCGGCGCACGGCGGCGGGGGAAGAGAGGGGGUGCAAACGGUGCUCGGGAGUGGUGGGCGUAAAGCGCGGGUAGGGGGUCUGAUAAGUCGGACGUGAAAUCCCGGGGCUCAACCCCGGAAGAGCGCUCGAUACUGUCUGACUUGGGUUCUGAAGAGGAGAGCGGAAUUCCCGGUGUAGAGGUGAAAUUCGUAGAUAUCGGGAGGAACACCAGUGGCGAAGGCGGCUCUCUGGGCAGAUACCGACGCUGAGACGCGAAAGCGUGGGAAGCAAACAGGAUUAGAUACCCUGGUAGUC